AGGAGAAAACAAUCUAAAUCAGGGGUUGGCAAACUUUUUCUGUAAAGGGCUGAAGGGUAACUAGUUUAGGCUUCCCGGGUCACACAGGCCCUGCCGCAACUACUCAGCUCUGCUAUCCUAGCACAGGAACAGCAGGAACUUUACCCAAACAGGCGCUAAGCCUGAUAUGGCCCAGGCCUUUGUUUGUCAGUCCCUAACUUCAGUGGUCCUCAGGCCUCACAGUGCAUCAGAAUCAUUGGGGAGUGUUUCUAAAAUACCAAGAUGUAGGCACCAGCCCCCGGAGAAGGCAAUGGCAGCAGUUUUUACCAAAUGCUUCUCAGAUCUUAACAUGACAUUAACACCGCUUAGUAAUUGGGAAUUUCAACAGGACUAGUUCAAUGAAGGAAAAAAAUGGAACCCCAGAGACCUCACUCUGUCUGACCUGUACCUCCACAGGCUUUAAUCAAGUAAGUCUCUGACCUUGUCUUGUUCUUAACUCUUCAGCACUAGUGAUUAUAAUUG
Molecule: long non-coding RNA, 501 nt
Filed under: Capra hircus (goat)
Lineage: Eukaryota; Metazoa; Chordata; Mammalia; Artiodactyla; Bovidae
Description: lncRNA (ENSCHIG00010014983.1)
Source: RNAcentral